CUGCAACUGCGGCUGCGUCCCUCUCCCUCUGCACUGCCCUCAAUUAUCUGUGUGAGAGAGAGUGGAGGGCAGGCCAAAUAAAGCCAUAGGUGCUGCUGGGAGAGGAGUGCGUGUUAGCAUGCUAUAAAUACUUGAUGCAUCUGGAGUUUCAGGGUUGGCUACUGUCUGGGUCUCAGCAGACCAGAUCACAGGCUCUAUGUUGAUCUAGUGAUUUAUAGAAUUAUUGAUUUAUUGGACUGGGACAGGGAUUGGACCAUCCUGGAGGUGACAGGCCAUCAUGCCUAGGAUAGACGUGGAUGUGAAGCUGGACUUUAAAGAUGUCCUGUUCAGACCCAAGAGAAGCAGCCUGAAGAGCAGGUCAGAGCAAACUCUCUUCACCGCCAUGCAGAAGCACUACACUGUGGAGCAGUGGAAGGCUUUUGCAGCCAAGUUUCCAGAAUGUUUGGAGCACAUAGCGGUCAGCUCAGGCAGCGGUCAAGCCGACCUGGAGAAGCUGUGCAGCGUCCUGAAGGCCGUCUCUGACAUCAGAUUCAUCUGUCUGGACGUGGCCAACGGCUACUCUGAACACUUUGUGGAGUUUGUCAAAACCGUCAGGGGGAGGUUUCCCCAACACACUAUCAUGGUGAGGCCGUUCCAUCAAGUUAACACAGCUGAACAGCUUUUGAAGACUUCAUUUGCUUAUGUCGUUUUAAUUACUGUAAAUAUUCUUACAUGUGCAAUGUGAUGUGCCAUGCAAUGUUAAACUAUCACCUGUUUGGUAGUUAGUUGGUUUGGUAGCUGUAUAGGUAUUCUAAAUGCUAUGACUAUGUCUGCCUGUCCGUCUGUCCGUCUGUCCGUCUGUCCGUCUGUCCGUCUGUCCGUCUGUGUGUCUCUAACUGUGGUCAGGCUGGCAACGUGGUGACAGGAGAGAUGGUGGAGGAGCUGAUCCUGGCAGGAGCUGACAUCAUUAAAGUGGGUAUUGGGCCAGGUGGGUCUGUUACUCUGGUACACUGUUACUCUGUCUGUUACUCUGGUGCUCCGUCUGUUACUCUGUCGGUUACUCUGUCGGUUACUCUGCCUGUUACUCUCUGUUGCUCUGUUACCCUGUCUGUUGCUCUGUCUGUUACUCUAUGGUACCCUCUAUGUUACUCUGUUACUCUGUCUGUUACUCUGUUACUCUGUCUGUUACUCUCUGUUACUCUGUCAGCCACUCUGUCUGUUACUCUGUUACUGUCUGUUACUCUGGGACUUUGUCUGUUGCUCUCUGUUACCCGGUUAUUCUGUCAGUUGCUCUGUCUGUUACUUUGUCAGUUGCUCUGGGUGUUACUCUGCUACUUUGUUACUGUCUGUUACUCUAUUACUAUGUAUGUUACUCUCUGUUACUCUGUCAGUUACUCUGUCUGUUACUCUGUUACUCUGUCUGGUGCUCUAUUACUAUGUAUGUUACUCUCUGUUACUCUGUCAGUUACUCUGUCUGUUACUCUAUUACUAUGUAUGUUACUCUCUGUUACUCUGUCAGUUACUCUGUCUGUUACUCUGUUACUCUGUCGGUUACUCUCUUACUCUGUCUGGUACUCUGUUUGUUACUCUCUGUUACUCUGUCGGUUACUCUGUCGGUUACUCUCUUACUCUGCCUGUUACUCUGUUUGUUACUCUCUGUUACUCUGUCGGUUACUCUGUCGGUUACUCUCUUACUCUGUCUGUUACUCUGUUUGUUACUCUCUGUUACUCUGUCGGUUACUCUGUCGGUUACUCAGUUAUUCUGUCAGGUACUCUGUCUGUUACUCUGCUACUGUGUCUGUUACUCUGUUAAUCUGUCUGGUACUCUGUCUGUUACUCUGUUACUGUGUAUGUUACUCUGGUACUCCAUCGGUUACUCUCUGUUACUCUGUUGGUUACUCUGUCUGUUACUCUCUGCUACUCUGUUACACUGUUACUAUGUCUGGUACUCUAUCACUCCGUCUGUUACUCUCUGUUACUCUGCCGGUUACUCUGUCUGUUACUCUGUUACUCUGUCUGCUACUCUGGUACUCCGUCUGUUACUCUGUUACUCUGUCUGUUACUCUGGUACUCUGUUACUCUGUCUGUUACUCUGGUACUCCAUCGGUUACUCUGUCUGUUACUAUGUUACUCUGUUACUCUGUCUGUUGCUCCGGUACUCUGUUACUCUAUUACUCCGUCUGUUACUCUGUCGGUUAGUCUGUUACUCUGUCUGUUGCUCUGUUGGUUACUCUGUUACUCUGUUGGUUACUAUGUUACUCUGUAUGUUACUCUGUCACUCUGUAUGUUACUCUGUAUGUUACUCUGUCUGUUACUCUGUCUAUUACUCUGUUAUUCUGUCUGUUGAUCUGUCGGUUACUCUGUUACUCUGUCUGUUACUCUGUCUGUUACUCUGUUACUCUGUUACUAUGUAUGUUACUCAGUUGGUUACUCUGUUACUCUGUCUGUUACUCUGUCUGUUACUCUGUUACUCUGGUACUCUGGUACUCUGUCUGUUACUCAGUUGGUUACUCUGUCUGUUACUCUGUCUGUCACUCCGGUACUCUGUUACUCUGUCUGUUACUCUGUUACUCUGUCUGUUAUUCUGUUACUUUGUCUGUUACUCUGUUACUUUGUCUGUUACUCUGUUACUCUGUCAGUUACUCUGUCGGUUACUCUGUUACCAUGUCUGUUAUACGGUCUGUUAUAAGGUCUGUUACCCUGUCUGUUAUUCUGUUACUCUGUCUGAUACUCUGUCUGUUACUCCGUUACUCUGUCGGUUACUCUGUUGGUUACUCUGUCUGUUACUCUGUCUGUUACCCUGUCUGUUAUUCUGUCUAUUACCCUGUCUGUUGCACUGGCUGUUACCCUGCCUGUUACUCUGUCUGUUACUCUGUCUGUUGUUCUGUUACUUUAUAUGUUACUCUGUUACUCUGUCUGUUAAUCUGUCUGUUACUCUGAUACUCUGUUGGUUACUCCGUUGGUUACUCUGUCUGUUACUCUGUUACCCUGUCUGUUACCCUGUCUGUUACCCUGUCUGUUACCCUGUCUGUUACACUGUCUGUUACACGGUCUGUUACUCUGUCUGUUACUCUGUCUGUUACUCUGUUACCCUGUCUGUUAUACUGUUUGUUACACUGUCUGUUACACUGUCUGUUACACUGUCUGUUGCCCUGUCUGUUACUCUGUCUGUUACUCCGUCUGUUACUCUAGCACCCUCUUCCCUACAUAGUGCACUAUAAGUAGAGCACUAUAUGGAGUCAUGAGUUCACCAGGGCUCCCUUCAAGAGAGAAAAAUACUUCAGCUGAGUGCAUUCAGCUCCUGACAAACUGACACGUCAUGAUUCCCCUCUAGGUUCUGUGUGUACGACGCGUAUUAAGACGGGAGUGGGAUACCCCCAGCUCAGUGCUGUCAUAGAGUGUGCAGACUCCGCCCACGGCCUGAAGGGUCACAUCAUCUCAGUGAGUGACCUCUGACCUCAAGAACCUUCUGACAUUCUGACCUCUUGGGUCAGAUUCAGGAGGGUGCAACGCACCUGCACAAUACAUGUAUCUACACAACAUUUCUAUCUGAACAAACCCAGGGGUUAAAGGUGCUGGAGCUCGGGUUCCGCCUAGCUUUCCCUUUGAGAGAUUAAACCACUGAACGUUCCACAAUGUUUGCUCAAUAUGUUUUGUUUUAUCGCACCAGGAUGGCGGAUGCAGCUGUCCUGGCGAUGUGGCUAAGGCAUUUGGUGAGUCCUGGUUUGAUAAAUCAUACUAUCAUAGUGACAUUGCGUAUGUGUUCUAUUCUCUAUAGGGCCCGGGUCAAAGUAGUGCACUAUAUUGGUAAUAGGAUGCAUUUGUUGUGUCCCUCAAAGAUGCUGCCUUGCCUAACUCUCUCUCAACAGGGUUGUGUGUGUGUGAUUCUAGGCGCUGGAGCUGAUUUUGUGAUGCUGGGGGGCAUGCUGGCUGGCCACGACCAGUGUGCCGGGGAGGUCAUUGAGAGGAAUGGCAGAAAGGUCAAGCUGUUCUAUGGGAUGAGCUCUGACACGGCCAUGAAGAAACAUGUAGGGGGAGUGGCAGAGUACAGAGCGUCAGAGGGCAGGACGGUGGAGGUACCGUACAGGGGGGAUGUAGAGGCCACCAUCAGGGACAUUCUGGGUGGUCUGCGCUCCACCUGCACCUACGUAGGAGCUGCCAAACUGAAGGAGCUCAGUCGCAGGACCACCUUUAUCAGAGUCACACAGCAGGCCAGCCACAUGUUCACAUAGUAGUAAAUAGACGGAGGGACGGACAGACAGACAGCCAUGAUCUUUCUUGUGGCUGUUUAGAACUUCACAUCCUAAUGCCUGAUUUCAAUUGUGCUGAUUUAAUUUAAAAUGUAAAAGUUUGAAUCUACAACAAUAUUUAUGUAAAUGCAUGUGUUACUUUCCCUGUACACAGUAGACAGAAAGAGGAGAAACAGAGAAAUACCAACCUGGACUCAGGGGUAGACAUAGUAAACUUAUAUCCGUGACACUCCAAUUAGUAUGAUAUGUAACGUUUGGCAUGGUUUUCAUUUGUGGAUGUCCAUCUUUCAUUUCGUCGGAUAUGUUACGAAUUACAAUAUGUUACGAAUUUGCAAAGGUAUGAUAUGUUAUGAAUUCUAAUUUGUUGAGGCUAAGGUUAUCUAGGUGUCUAGGUGGCUAACGCUAAUGUUAGCUAGGUGGCUAAUGUUAACCAGGUUAGGGGUUAAGGUUAGGAGUUAGGUUAGGGUAUGGGUUAGCUAAUAUGCUAAGUAGUUGCAAAAAAUUGGUAAGUAGUUUCAAAGUUGCUAAUUAGCUAAAAUGAUAAAAUUGUCUGUGAUGUUAUUCAAACUCACAGCCUUUGGGUUGCUUGAUGUUCAUGUUUUACACCUACCCAUCCACCCUGUCCAAACAUCCUACUUUUGUUUUUUGCCUUAAGUAACCUUCUGUCUUAUGUAACCAAAUGUAACAUAUCAUACUAAAUUGAAUCUUUCAGAAUUUGGAUUUACAUUUACUAUGUUACGUGUAGUCUAUGAGACCAGGCUGGAAAAACAGAGUGCUAGAGUAAGCAGCUGCUCUGUUGCUCCUCUUGAAAGAUGGAUGAAAGACAGAUGAGCCAGUUGAUAGACAGAAUUUCAGUUGACUCUGUUAUUUAUUAUUCUGAGUAUACAGAGACAAUACAUUUGUUCAUGUUCUUUUGUGUUUCUUUAAACAAAUUUGUUCAAAUCUAAAUGAAAUGUUAAAAAAAAUUACAACUGAAAUAUUUUGUCCAUAAACCUGGAAAAACUCUCCUAAGAAAGAGACCAUAGAUCAUACAGAACAGAUUGGAGUAUAUCCUACAAAUUAAACCGUAAUACCACAGUUAGAAAAGCAACUUUGAAGUCUUCUAGUCCUCUUGUUUCCUGUCUCCUGUUGUACAUAAAUGUAUCUUACAUAUGAGGUACACAAAAAAGUUAUUUCACAACCUUUCUUGGGGGUUGCGGACCAAUGCAUGAACAUUUUUUAAAUUACAGAUUGUACAAUAAUAACAAUGAUCCUAUUUUGUAUAAUAUCUACAACAAUGUUUAUAUUUUAGCACAUACAUAUCUCAGGAAAAAACAGUCAAUGGGCGGUGUCUGUUUCUCUGCCAGUUCACCUGAUUAUUGGCAAGAUGCAAACAACAGUCUAAUAAUCUCUAUUCAUUCUAUUCUCUGUCUCUCUCUCUCCCUCCUCUCUCUCCCUCCUCUCUCUCUCUCCUCUCAAUGAAUUUGAAAAUAUCCAAUUGCUUUCUUUGAUGAUAAACAGUUUUAUGAUAAUCACACACACACACACACACACACACACACACACACACAAUUCCUGAGUUCUGUAAAAUACUUUAUUUUGGCUAUAAGAAAAUAUAUAUAAUUUUAAACUGAAAGAAAAGAGAGACACCUGUGAGAAUUCAGUCUAAAGUAAGACAGGUACACAUGAGUGGGUAGUGAGGCCAGGUAGUUACAGAAUGUAGAGUAAUGUCCACAUUCAUGUGCACAGGUUCAUCUACUGCUGAACCUAUGGCACUGGUCCAUAAUCACUGAUGAUCUUGACUCUAGCUUUUUCACUUGACAGUACCAUGAUUACUCUGAUUUGCCUGAAUUAAAAGUAUGAAAAUAUACAUUUUAAUGAUUCAUGUCACGUGAAGAUACAAUGUAUUCUCAGGUGACAUAUUGCAAGUUGAGGUUUGAGUUUUACAUGGGAUGUCAUUCAUACAAAUAACUGAUGAAAGUGAAUCAGAGACAUUUUAGAGGGUCAUCGGUCUGUAAUGAUUUAACAUGGAAAAACACCAAUCUAUAAUUCAGGUAUUGCACAUACAACACAUACAACCCAAUUACAACUAAGUUAAUUGGACAGGUUCACUAUAGCUGUAGUUCAAUGUCAGUGGCUCUCCCUCCACCACUUUACAGUGUAAAACAUUGUAAAACAACGUCCAGAAGAACCACUGUAAAACGUUGUAUAACGUCCAGAAGAACCACUGUAAAACGUUGUAUAACGUCCAGAAGAACCACUGUAAAAUGUUGUAUAACGUCCAGAAGAACCACUGUAAAACGUUGUAUAACAUCCAGAAGAACCACUGUAAAACGUUGUAUAACGUCCAGAAGAACCACUGUAAAACGUUGUAUAACGUCCAGAAGAACCACUGUAAAACGUUGUAUAACAUCCAGAAGAACCACUGUAAAACGUUGUAUAACGUCCAGAAGAACCACUGUAAAACGUAGUAUAACGUCCAGAAGAACCACAGAAAGCCCCCGAUAAAAGGUGAAGUAGAACUCACUGCAGGAGAAGCUAUCAUGUAACUUACUACAGUAUGAAGCUAUCAGGUAACUUACUACAGUAUGAAGCUAUCAGGUAUGUAGCUGUCAGGUAGGUUACAACACUAUGAAGCUAUCAGGUAACUUACUACAGUAUGAAGCUAUCAUGUUUGACGCUAUUGGGUAACUUACUACAGUAUGAAGCUAUCAGGUAACUUACUACAGUAUGAAGCUGUCAGGUAACUUACUACAGUAUGAAGCUAUCAGGUAACUUACUACAGUAUGAAGCUAUCAGGUAACUUACUACAGUAUGAAGCUAUCAGGUAUGAAGAUAUCAGGUAACUUACCACAGUAUGAAGCUAUCAGGUAACUUACAACAGUAUGAAGCUAUCGGGUAACUUACAACAGUAUGAAGCUAUCGGGUAACUUACAACAGUAUGAAGCUAUCAGGUAACUUACAACAGUAUGAAGCUAUCAGGUAACUUACAACAGUAUGAAGCUAUCAGGUAACUUACUGCAGUAUGAAGCUAUCAGGUAUGAAGAUAUCAGGUAACUUACUACAGUAUGAAGCUAUCAGGUAACUUACUACAGUAUGAAGCUAUCAGGUAUGAAGAUAUCAGGUAACUUACUACAGUAUGAAGCUAUCAGGUAACUUACUACAGUAUGAAGCUAGCAUGUAACUUACAACAGUAUAUCUAAAACAAGAAGGGAAUGAAGACAUUAAAUCACAAAGAAUGCGUCCCAAACGGCACCCUCUUAGCUUUAUAGUGCACUACAACUGACCAGAGCCCAAAGUUAGGGCACUAUAUAGGAAAUGGGUGCCAUUUGGGACACAACCUGGCUAUCAAAGAUACUACUAACCCUGUCCUGUAGACAUUGGUUGAUGUUCAAAUCAAUAUGAUUACUCUUUAAAUUCACUUUGUGGAAUAUGGCCAAUAACAAAAUUAUACGCACCCAUAUUUCUGUAAACCGAAAUGAUUGAAACAUACAAUGCCUUCGGAAAGUGUUCAGACCCCUUGACUUUUUCCACAUUUUGUUACGUUACAGCCUUAUUCUAAAAUGUAUUCAAUAGUUUUUUCCCCCUCAUCAAUCUACACACAACACGCC
RNAcentral lists this long non-coding RNA (7819 nucleotides) under Salmo salar (Atlantic salmon). Its description in RNAcentral is "lncRNA (ENSSSAG00000082672.1)". The record is from RNAcentral. Lineage: Eukaryota; Metazoa; Chordata; Actinopteri; Salmoniformes; Salmonidae.